This 468-nucleotide ribosomal RNA is filed under the name uncultured bacterium. Its description in RNAcentral is "partial 16S ribosomal RNA". It matches the Rfam family "Bacterial small subunit ribosomal RNA", at positions 28 to 507 of the family's 1533-position model. The record is from RNAcentral.
GACGAACGCUGGCGGCGUGCUUAACACAUGCAAGUCGAACGGAAAGGCCCUGCUUUUGUGGGGUGCUCGAGUGGCGAACGGGAGAGUAACACGUGAGUAACCUGCCCUUGACUUUGGGAUAACUUCAGGAAACUGGGGCUAAUACCGGAUAGGAGCUCCUGCUGCAUGGUGGGGGUUGGAAAGUUUCGGCGGUUGGGGAUGGACUCGCGGCUUAUCAGCUUGUUGGUGGGGUAGUGGCUUACCAAGGCUUUGACGGGUAGCCGGCCUGAGAGGGUGACCGGCCACAUUGGGACUGAGAUACGGCGCAGACUCCUACGGGAGGCAGCAGUGGGGAAUAUUGCACAAUGGGCGGAAGCCUGAUGCAGCAACGCCGCGUGCGGGAUGACGGCCUUCGGGUUGUAAACCGCUUUCGCCUGUGACGAAGCGUGAGUGACGGUAAUGGGUAAAGAAGCACCGGCUAACUACGUG